UGUGACUUAGUAGCUGACCAGAAGCAAC
This 28-nucleotide non-coding RNA is filed under the name Rattus norvegicus (Norway rat). The record is from RNAcentral. Lineage: Eukaryota; Metazoa; Chordata; Mammalia; Rodentia; Muridae.